This 406-nucleotide ribosomal RNA is filed under the name uncultured bacterium. Its description in RNAcentral is "partial 16S ribosomal RNA". It matches the Rfam family "Bacterial small subunit ribosomal RNA", at positions 30 to 526 of the family's 1533-position model. The record is from RNAcentral.
AUUGAACGCUGGCGGCAGGCCUAACACAUGCAAGUCGAACGAGUGGCGGAAGGGUGAGUAAUGUCUGGGAAACUGCCUGAUGGAGGGGGAUAACUACUGGAAACGGUAGCUAAUACCGCAUACCAUCAGAUGUGCCCAGAUGGGAUUAGCUAGUAGGGGGGGUAACGGCUCAACUAGGCGACGAGCCCUAGCUGGUCUGAGAGGAUGACCAGCCACACUGGAACUGAGACACGGUCCAGUCUCCUACGGUAGGCAGCAGUGGGGAAUAUUGCACAAUGGGCGCAAGCCUGAUGCCGCCAUGCCGCGUGUGUGAAGAAGGCCUUAGGGUUGUAAAGCCCUUUCAGCUGUGAGGCGUUACCCGCAGAAGAAGCACCGGCUAACUCCGUGCCAGCAGCCGCGGUAAUAC